GAUGAACGCUGGCGGCGUGCCUAAUACAUGCAAGUCGAGCGAACAGACGAGGAGCUUGCUCCUCUGACGUUAGCGGCGGACGGGUGAGUAACACGUGGAUAACCUACCUAUAAGACUGGGAUAACUUCGGGAAACCGGAGCUAAUACCGGAUAAUAUAUUGAACCGCAUGGUUCAAUAGUGAAAGACGGUUUUGCUGUCACUUAUAGAUGGAUCCGCGCCGCAUUAGCUAGUUGGUAAGGUAACGGCUUACCAAGGCAACGAUGCGUAGCCGACCUGAGAGGGUGAUCGGCCACACUGGAACUGAGACACGGUCAAGACUCCGACGGGAGGCAGCAGUAGGGAAUCUUCCGCAAUGGGCGAAAGCCUGACGGAGCAACGCCGCGUGAGUGAUGAAGGUCUUCGGAUCGUAAAACUCUGUUAUUAGGGAAGAACAAAUGUGUAAGUAACUAUGCACGUCUUGACGGUACCUAAUCAGAAAGCCACGGCUAACUACGUG
This 497-nucleotide ribosomal RNA is filed under the name uncultured bacterium. RNAcentral describes it as "partial 16S ribosomal RNA". It matches the Rfam family "Bacterial small subunit ribosomal RNA", at positions 28 to 507 of the family's 1533-position model. The record is from RNAcentral.